UACAGAGGUGGCGAGCGUUGUUCGGAUUUACUGGGCGUAAAGCGUGCGUAGGUGGUAUCGUAUGUCGGAUGUGAAAUCCCAUGGCUCAACUGUGGAACUGCAUUCGAAACUGCGAUUCUAGAGUACAGGAGGGGUGAGCGGAAUUCUUGGUGUAGCGGUGAAAUGCGUUGAUAUCAAGAAGAACACCGGCGGCGAAGGCGGCUCACUGGAAUGUUACUGACACUGAGGCACGAAAGUUGGGGGAGCGAACAGGAUUAGAUACCCGCGUA
RNAcentral lists this ribosomal RNA (269 nucleotides) under uncultured prokaryote. Its description in RNAcentral is "partial 16S ribosomal RNA". It matches the Rfam family "Bacterial small subunit ribosomal RNA", at positions 524 to 792 of the family's 1533-position model. The record is from RNAcentral.